AACGCGAAGAACCUUACCUGGGCUCGAACGGCUUCAGACAGUCGUGGAAACACGAUCUUCCCCUUAAAAGGACUGGAGUCGAGGUGCUGCAUGGCUGUCGUCAGCUCGUGUCGUGAGAUGUUGGGUUAAGUCCCGCAACGAGCGCAACCCUUGUCCUGUGUUGCCACUCCCGCAAGGGAAGCACUCUCAGGAGACCGCCAGCGAUAAGCUGGAGGAAGGUGGGGAUGAUGUCAAGUCAUCAUGGCCUUUAUGUCCAGGGCUACACACGUGCUACAAUGGACGGUACAAAGCGCUGCAAACCCGCGAGGGGGAGCCAAUCGCAAAAAACCGUUCUCAGUUCGGAUCGCAGGCUGCAACUCGCCUGCGUGAAGCUGGAAUCGCUAGUAAUGGCGUAUCAGAAUGAUGCCGUGAAUACGUUCCCGGGCCUUGUACACACCGGCUAC
Molecule: ribosomal RNA, 443 nt
Filed under: uncultured bacterium
Lineage: Bacteria
Description: bacterial SSU rRNA
Rfam family: Bacterial small subunit ribosomal RNA
Source: RNAcentral